CUACGGGGGGCUGCAGUGAGGAAUAUUGCACAAUGGGGGGAACCCUGAUGCAGCAACGCCGCGUGGAGGAUGACGCAUUUCGGUGUGUAAACUCCUUUUAUAUGUCAAGAAAAUGACGGUAGCAUAUGAAUAAGCGCCGGCUAACUCCGUGCCAGCAGCCGCGGUAAUACGGAGGGCGCAAGCGUUACUCGGAAUCACUGGGCGCAAAGGACGCGUAGGCGGGUUGAAAAGUCAGGUGUGAAAGCCUACAGCUUAACUGUAGAACUGCACUUGAAACUCUCAAUCUAGAGUAUGGGAGGGGCAGAUGGAAUUAGUGGUGUAGGGGUAAAAUCCGUAGAUAUCACUAGGAAUACCUAAAGCGAAGGCGAUCUGCUGGAACAUUACUGACGCUAAGGCGUGAAAGCGUGGGGAGCAAACAGGAUUAGAUACCCCCGUAGUC
This 439-nucleotide ribosomal RNA is filed under the name uncultured bacterium. RNAcentral's name for it is "partial 16S ribosomal RNA". It matches the Rfam family "Bacterial small subunit ribosomal RNA", at positions 339 to 795 of the family's 1533-position model. The record is from RNAcentral.